GUAAUAGCUCACUAGUCGAGUGACGCCGCGCCGAAAAUUUACCGGGGCUAAGCAUGAUACCGAAACUGUGGAUGUGCAUUUAUGCACGUGGUAGGAGAGCGUUCUAGCGGCGGUGAAGCAUGACCGAGAGGACAUGUGGAGCUUCUAGAAGUGAGAAUGCCGGUAUGAGUAACGAAAGACAGGUGAGAAUCCUGUCCGCCGCAAGACUAAGGUUUCCUGGGGCAGGCUCGUCCGCCCAGGGUAAGUCGGGACCUAAGGCGAGGCCGAGAGGCGUAGUCGAUGGACAACAGGUUGAAAUUCCUGUACUGCACCGAAUCGUUAUGAGCGAUGGAGGGACGCAGGAGGCUAGCAGCGCGUGGUGCUGGAUACCACGUUCAAGCGUCAAGUCUGAGAGUGAGUCAAAUGCUUGCUCUCAUAAGGACAAGGCGUGAUGAGGAGCGAAAUUAAAGUAGCGAAGGCUGC
Molecule: ribosomal RNA, 462 nt
Filed under: Lactobacillus delbrueckii subsp. bulgaricus
Lineage: Bacteria; Bacillati; Bacillota; Bacilli; Lactobacillales; Lactobacillaceae
Description: partial 23S ribosomal RNA
Rfam family: Bacterial large subunit ribosomal RNA
Source: RNAcentral